GACAGAGGGUGCAAACGUUGUUCGGAAUUACUGGGCGUAAAGCGUGUGUAGGCGGCUAUGUAAGUCGGAUGUGAAAGCCCCGGGCUCAACCCGGGAAGUGCACUCGAUACUGCGUAGCCUGAGUCUCGGAGAGGUUGGUGGAAUUCUCGGUGUAGAGGUGAAAUUCGUAGAUAUCGAGAGGAACACCGGUGGCGAAGGCGGCCAACUGGACGAAGACUGACGCUGAGACACGAAAGCGUGGGGAGCAAACAGG
Molecule: ribosomal RNA, 253 nt
Filed under: uncultured bacterium
Lineage: Bacteria
Description: partial 16S ribosomal RNA
Rfam family: Bacterial small subunit ribosomal RNA
Source: RNAcentral